AUUGAACGCUGGCGGCAGGCCUAACACAUGCAAGUCGAACGGUAACAGGAAGCAGCUUGCUGCUUUGCUGACGAGUGGCGGACGGGUGAGUAAUGUCUGGGAAACUGCCCGAUGGAGGGGGAUAACUACUGGAAACGGUAGCUAAUACCGCAUAACGUCGCAAGACCAAAGAGGGGGACCUUAGGGCCUCUUGCCAUCGGAUGUGCCCAGAUGGGAUUAGCUAGUAGGUGGGGUAACGGCUCACCUAGGCGACGAUCCCUAGCUGGUCUGAGAGGAUGACCAGCCACACUGGAACUGAGACACGGUCCAGACUCCUACGGGAGGCAGCAGUGGGGAAUAUUGCACAAUGGGCGCAAGCCUGAUGCAGCCAUGCCGCGUGUAUGAAGAAGGCCUUCGGGUUGUAAAGUACUUUCAGCGGGGAGGAAGGGAGUAAAGUUAAUACCUUUGCUCAUUGGCGUUACCCGCAGAAGAAGCACCGGCUAACUCCGUG
Molecule: ribosomal RNA, 490 nt
Filed under: uncultured bacterium
Lineage: Bacteria
Description: partial 16S ribosomal RNA
Rfam family: Bacterial small subunit ribosomal RNA
Source: RNAcentral